This 1171-nucleotide long non-coding RNA is filed under the name Homo sapiens (human). RNAcentral's name for it is "non-protein coding lnc-COL4A5-1:3". Lineage: Eukaryota; Metazoa; Chordata; Mammalia; Primates; Hominidae. The record is from RNAcentral.
ACGUGACCACAGCCUCACGCGGCGGCCGCUGCGGAUCCUGCUACCGGCGCAAUGGAGGGGCGCGAGCGGCCACCAGUAGAGUCUGGUUCAUUCUUUCCAGCCGCACAAGGCGGCGGAUCGAGCUUCUUGGGAGAAAGUGUCGGCACCCCCUGAAAACGGGUUGACGACCAGGGCGCUCAGAACUGCUUCCCACCGCUCUGCAGGCACUCCCGAGCCCGCUGCACCCCUGACAGAAGCCCGCGACUCUGAGGCACACGAAUAACAGCGAUGCAUUCAAAAUGAACAUGAUCUUUAUUAAUCAGAAUGCACUUCUAGCCCACGAAACACAGGUUCCCUAAAUACAGUGUUUCUGCCUAUUUGAUUAACGAUGACUAUGAAAGCACAAAUUUGGGGGCCUGCAAUGUAUACAGCCAUAUUGGAAAAAAUUGGACUCGAUUCUUACUGAAAUAACCAGUGUUGGGCUGUGAAGGUAUUUUUCUGUGGGAAAUGCUUUGGAAGGUGCCUUUAAAAGAAUCUCAAAAUAUUGCUUUCCUUUCCUUGAGCGAGACCGAAAAACUUUAGAAAAAGAAAAGCUCAUACCUAGAACAAAGGACCACGCUGAAUGCAUAUUCUAGAGCACAUUUCACAUCCCUCGCGUCAACAAGAAGAAGAAGAGGAGCUUUGAUGCAUUUCAGUCUACAAGUUGACAUCACAAAAGUGCUGGAAGCAGCCGUGGUUUCGGAAGGGAGCUAGAGGCAGAACGAGUGUGGAUGCUGAGAGAUCCCUGACUGUGACUGCUACAUAUUUCAGCUGCGUAGUCACAUAUAUACAAGAUUCCCUGCACUUACAACCAAAAUGAUAACAAAUGCUCUCAUUUGGGAUUUUGUUUGAUAGUCAUUAGGAUAUUUUAUAAGUCUUUCCAAGCACAAGGUUUUUUUCUUUUUUUUUUUAAAGAGAAAUGUGACAAAUAAGGCAACAUAUUUGAAAGUGCUUUGAGUAAUAACAUGACAUUGAAAAUAUCAAAAUGAAUAUUAAAUGAAAUGGGAAAAUACUGGAGAUUUUUAAAUCCUCAUGUCCUUUUUCCUGUACAUAUAGUUUUUACAUAGAGCAGUAGGCUUACAAUUUAUAUAAUUUUGCAUCCUGUUCUUUUCACUGAACAUUAUACAAUAUUUCCCCAUAUUAUUAUGCAUCA